GUGAGGAAUAUUGGUCAAUGGACGAGAGUCUGAACCAGCCAAGUCGCGUGAAGGAAGACGGUUCUAUGAAUUGUAAACUUCUUUUGUGCAGGAAUAAAGUGGGUUACGUGUAACCUUUUGUAUGUACUGUACGAAUAAGGAUCGGCUAACUCCGUGCCAGCAGCCGCGGUAAUACGGAGGCUCCGAGCGUUAUCCGGAUUUCUUGGGUUUACAGGGUGCGUAGGUGGAUUGUUAAGUCAGCGGUGAAAGUUUGCAGAUUAACUGUAAAAUUGCCGUUGAAACUGUCGGUCUUGAGUGCAAAUGAGGUAGGCGGAAUGUGUUGUGUAGCGGUGAAAUGCUUAGAUAUAACACAGAACUCCGAUUGCGAAGGCAGCUUACUGGGAUGCAACUGACACUGAUGCACGAAAGCGUGGGUAUCAAACAGGAUUAGAUACCCCUGUAGUCC
This 445-nucleotide ribosomal RNA is filed under the name uncultured bacterium. Its description in RNAcentral is "partial 16S ribosomal RNA". It matches the Rfam family "Bacterial small subunit ribosomal RNA", at positions 354 to 796 of the family's 1533-position model. The record is from RNAcentral.